RNAcentral lists this long non-coding RNA (849 nucleotides) under Ananas comosus (pineapple). Its description in RNAcentral is "long non-coding RNA (ACOM_LNC016853)". Lineage: Eukaryota; Viridiplantae; Streptophyta; Magnoliopsida; Poales; Bromeliaceae. The record is from RNAcentral.
AGAAACAGCUGCAAUCUGGUGUCCCUGCAGAAACCGGCGUUUCUGGGCGCCCGGAACCAUGUUCUGGGCGACCGAAACAUCCAGGCUGCACAAAUCAUGCUCCUCGGACUCUCCGCUCGCGGUGUGCUGCGCCCGUAAACGGUUCCGGCGGAACUCACCUACCACCCCGCCACACGUCGAAGCAAACGAUAUUCACGAUGUAGAAUUUUCGGACCCACUUCUCGGCGCCCGGAAUAUAGGAUCCGAAUUGGCUUCCAGUUUUAGCUGAAUUCAACACUCGGUUCUGGGCGACCUAAACCAUGUUCUGGGCGCCCGAAUCUGGCAAAACUCCAGUUUUGCUUAUUUGAGUGCGCCAAGUCCAAUUCUGCAUCCAAUUCGUGCAGAAUUGACUCUGACUCAGUCCGACACUCUCCAGAGAUGUCGACCAGUCACUAAUACUGAAGUCAAUCCUAUCCAAAGCUCAGGAACACUACAGUUUGGAAGAAAAAAAAUAACAUAAUUUUUGGAGUAUAGUUAUACUAUACUCCAAAAAAUGAAGUAAACUUACAAUCCACUUUAACUAAAGGAAAAAAAAUUCCACCAUUUUGGGCUCCCAAAGAUAUAUCAAUUUCUAAAUUUUAAAUUUCAACAUAAAAUUUUAAAUUUCAAAAUUUUAAAUUUUAAAAUUCAAUUUUAAUUUUGAUUUUAAAUUUCAAAUUUCAAAUUUCAAUUUCAAAAAGUUCAAAUAUCAAAUUUCAAAUUUCAAAUUUCAAAUUUCAAAAAGUUCUAAUUUCAAAUUUCAAACUUCAAAUUUCAAAUUUCAACUUUCAAAUUUCAACUUUCAAAUUUCAACUUUCAAAUUUCAAAUUU